RNAcentral lists this ribosomal RNA (333 nucleotides) under uncultured eukaryote. Its description in RNAcentral is "partial 18S ribosomal RNA". It matches the Rfam family "Eukaryotic small subunit ribosomal RNA", at positions 1470 to 1796 of the family's 1831-position model. The record is from RNAcentral.
CCCUUAGAUGUUCUGGGCCGCACGCGCGCUACACUGAUACGUUCAACGAGCUUUUCUCGCCUUGACUGAAAAGUCUGGGAAAUCUUUUUCAAAGCGUAUCGUGAUGGGGCUAGAUUAUUGCAAUUAUUAAUCUUCAACGAGGAAUUCCUAGUAAGCGUGAUUCAUCAGAUCGCGUUGAUUACGUCCCUGCCCUUUGUACACACCGCCCGUCGCUCCUACCGAUUGAGUGGUCCGGUGAGAUCCUCGGAUCGCAGCCACAACGCGGGCAACCGUGGUCGUGGCAGUGAGAAGUUGAUCAAACCUUAUCACUUAGAGGAAGGAGAAGUCGUAACA